RNAcentral lists this ribosomal RNA (497 nucleotides) under uncultured bacterium. Its description in RNAcentral is "partial 16S ribosomal RNA". It matches the Rfam family "Bacterial small subunit ribosomal RNA", at positions 28 to 507 of the family's 1533-position model. The record is from RNAcentral.
GAUGAACGCUGGCGGCGUGCCUAAUACAUGCGAGUCGAGCGAACAGACGAGGAGCUUGCUCCUCUGACGUUAGCGGCGGACGGGUGAGUAACACGUGGAUAACCUACCUAUAAGACUGGGAUAACUUCGGGAAACCGGAGCUAAUACCGGAUAAUAUAUUGAACCGCAUGGUUCAAUAGUGAAAGACGGUUUUGCUGUCACUUAUAGAUGGAUCCGCGCCGCAUUAGCUAGUUGGUAAGGUAACGGCUUACCAAGGCAACGAUGCGUAGCCGACCUGAGAGGGUGAUCGGCCACACUGGAACUGGGACACGGUCCAGACUCCUACGGGAGGCAGCAGUAGGGAAUCUUCCGCAAUGGGCGAAAGCCUGACGGAGCAACGCCGCGUGAGUGAUGAAGGUCUUCGGAUCGUAAAGCUCUGUUAUUAGGGAAGAACAAAUGUGUAAGUAACUAUGCACGUCUUGACGGUACCUAAUCAGAAAGCCACGGCUAACUACGUG